UAGUAAGUAGAUGCUGAUGAAUAAAAGGUCUACUUGUCUUGGCGUACCGCCCGUUACUAUUGAGCCUCUAACUUUCAAGUAGCAUAAUUAGCAUUGCGGUGCGUUCAUAAUUCUAUCAAUUGCCCAGCUGUAAUUUGUUUAGCCAAGCAUAGUUGUUUAUCGUCUUUUGGGAGAGCGACAUCACUAGUGAACAUCAUGCGAC
RNAcentral lists this long non-coding RNA (202 nucleotides) under Hordeum vulgare. RNAcentral's name for it is "long non-coding RNA (HVUL_LNC006885)". The record is from RNAcentral. Lineage: Eukaryota; Viridiplantae; Streptophyta; Magnoliopsida; Poales; Poaceae.